UUGGUUCACCAUUGCUAGAUGGUUACAUCGAUUAGUAUAGGAAGUUAUUCCUAUACUACUGACUUAGGUUCGAACCUAUAGGGUCAUACGCAUUAGAAGAUUUGGUCCGAUCUGAUGGCUGAAGAGUCCAAUUGAUUGUGACUCUAGUGACGAGUCCUACUAGGACUGGGACUCUUGGGGAGAGUUUCACUGAGACUAGGACUCUACUAUUUAUAGAA
This 218-nucleotide long non-coding RNA is filed under the name Elaeis guineensis (African oil palm). RNAcentral describes it as "long non-coding RNA (EGUI_LNC003543)". The record is from RNAcentral. Lineage: Eukaryota; Viridiplantae; Streptophyta; Magnoliopsida; Arecales; Arecaceae.